RNAcentral lists this ribosomal RNA (254 nucleotides) under uncultured bacterium. RNAcentral describes it as "partial 16S ribosomal RNA". It matches the Rfam family "Bacterial small subunit ribosomal RNA", at positions 524 to 776 of the family's 1533-position model. The record is from RNAcentral.
GACGUAGGGCGCGAGCGUUGUCCGGAUUUAUUGGGCGUAAAGAGCUCGUAGGCGGCUUGUCGCGUCGAAUGUGAAAACCUGCAGCUCAACUGCAGGCUUGCAUUCGAUACGGGCAGGCUCGAGUUCGGUAGGGGGAGACUGGAAUUCCUGUGUGAGCGGUGGAAUGCGCAGAUAUCAGGAGGAACACCAAUAGCGAAGGCAGCUCGCUGGGACGUUACUGACACUGAGGCGCGAAAGCGUGGGGAGCGAACAGG